CGUGGAAUCAUCCCUCCACAUCAAUUGCCAGACCCAUCAGCUCUGGCAACAGAUGUGUUCACCCAAGACUGGUCGCCUUUCCACCUUUUGCAUGGAUUCCCCGCUGCCUACUUCAAUUAAGACGCCAGACGGGAACUCUUGUGAUUGUGGUACUGUUAUGGCCCUCCCAACCAUGGUUUCCCUCCCUCCUGGAGAUGGCGAUAGACAUACCGCUCAUCCUCCCACACUUCGAGUACCUGCUUCAGGACCCGGAC
Molecule: non-coding RNA, 254 nt
Organism: Pelobates cultripes (western spadefoot toad)
Lineage: Eukaryota; Metazoa; Chordata; Amphibia; Anura; Pelobatidae
Source: the annotation of a GenBank genome assembly